RNAcentral lists this ribosomal RNA (250 nucleotides) under uncultured bacterium. RNAcentral describes it as "partial 16S ribosomal RNA". It matches the Rfam family "Bacterial small subunit ribosomal RNA", at positions 15 to 261 of the family's 1533-position model. The record is from RNAcentral.
GAUCCUGGCUCAGAGUGAACGCUGGCGGUAGGCCUAACACAUGCAAGUCGAACGGCAGCACAGAGGAGCUUGCUCCUUGGGUGGCGAGUGGCGGACGGGUGAGGAAUACAUCGGAAUCUACUCUGUCGUGGGGGAUAACGUAGGGAAACUUACGCUAAUACCGCAUACGACCUACGGGUGAAAGCAGGGGAUCUUCGGACCUUGCGCGAUUGAAUGAGCCGAUUUCGGAUUAGCUAGUUGGCGGGGUAAA